This 447-nucleotide ribosomal RNA is filed under the name uncultured bacterium. Its description in RNAcentral is "bacterial SSU rRNA". It matches the Rfam family "Bacterial small subunit ribosomal RNA", at positions 355 to 825 of the family's 1533-position model. The record is from RNAcentral.
UGGGGAAUAUUGGACAAUGGGGGAAACCCUGAUCCAGCCAUGCCGCGUGCGUGAAGAAGGCCUUAGGGUUGUAAAGCGCUUUCGGCGGGGAAGAUGAUGACGGUACCCGCAGAAGAAGCCCCGGCUAACUCCGUGCCAGCAGCCGCGGUAAUACGGAGGGGGCUAGCGUUGUUCGGAAUUACUGGGCGUAAAGGGCGCGUAGGCGGGCGAUCAAGUCAGAGGUGAAAGGCCUGGGCUCAACCUGGGAAUUGCCUUUGAAACUGAUUGUCUAGAGUCCGGAAGAGGAUGGCGGAAUUCCCAGUGUAGAGGUGAAAUUCGUAGAUAUUGGGAAGAACACCAGUGGCGAAGGCGGCCAUCUGGUCCGGUACUGACGCUGAGGCGCGAAAGCGUGGGGAGCAAACAGGAUUAGAUACCCCUGUAGUCCCUGAGCGGGCUGGCAAGGCGCAU